RNAcentral lists this ribosomal RNA (460 nucleotides) under uncultured bacterium. RNAcentral describes it as "partial 16S ribosomal RNA". It matches the Rfam family "Bacterial small subunit ribosomal RNA", at positions 338 to 795 of the family's 1533-position model. The record is from RNAcentral.
CCUACGGGUGGCAGCAGUGAGGAAUAUUGGUCAAUGGCCGGAAGGCUGAACCAGCCAUGCCGCGUGAAGGUCAGUGCCCUAUGGGCGUUAAACUUCUUUUGUGCGGGAGCAAUAAUGGUCACGUGUGGCCAGACGAGAGUACCGUACGAAUAAGCAUCGGCUAACUCCGUGCCAGCAGCCGCGGUAAUACGGGGGAUGCAAGCGUUAUCCGGAUUUAUUGGGUUUAAAGGGUGCGUAGGCUGUGAGGUAAGUCAGCGGUGAAAUGCCCCCGCUCAACGGGGUGAAGUGCCAUUGAUACUGCCUGGCUGGAAUGCGGAUGCCGUGGGAGGAAUGUGUGGUGUAGCGGUGAAAUGCAUAGAUAUCACACAGAUCACCGAUUGCGAAGGCAUCUCACGAAUCCGCGAUUGACGCUGAUGCACGAAAGCGUGGGUAUCAAACAGGAUUAGAUACCCUAGUAGUC